AAGUCGUAACAAGGUUUCCGUAGGUGAACCUGCGGAAGGAUCAUUAAAAAUGAAGCCGGGAAACCGGUCCUUCUCACCCUUGAUUAUCUCAAAUUGUUGCUUUGGUGGGCCGCGCAAGCACCGGCUUCGGCUGGAUCGUGCCCGCCAGAGGACCACAACUCUGUAUUAUAUGUCGUCUGAGUACUAUAAAAUAGUUAAAACUUUCAACAACGGAUCUCUUGGUUCUGGC
This 229-nucleotide unclassified non-coding RNA is filed under the name Spirosphaera carici-graminis. Its description in RNAcentral is "partial internal transcribed spacer region". The stretch from base 1 to 46 matches the Rfam family "Eukaryotic small subunit ribosomal RNA", at positions 1786 to 1831 of the family's 1831-position model. Lineage: Eukaryota; Fungi; Ascomycota; Leotiomycetes; Helotiales. The record is from RNAcentral.